RNAcentral lists this ribosomal RNA (352 nucleotides) under uncultured bacterium. RNAcentral's name for it is "bacterial SSU rRNA". It matches the Rfam family "Bacterial small subunit ribosomal RNA", at positions 64 to 430 of the family's 1533-position model. The record is from RNAcentral.
GAACGAGAAAGUGGAGCAAUCCAUGAGUAAAGUGGCGACCGGGUGAGUAACACGUGACUAACCUACCCUUGAGUGGGGGAUAACCUCGGGAAACCGGGGCUAAUACCGCAUAACAUCGCAAGAUCAAAGGAGCAAUCCGCUGAAGGAGGGGGUCGCGGCUGAUUAGUUAGUUGGUGAGGUAAUGGCUCACCAAGACGAAGAUCAGUAGCCGGCCUGAGAGGGCGCACGGCCACACUGGAACUGAAAUACGGGCCAGACUCCUACGGGAGGCAGCAGUGGGGAAUUUUGGGCAAUGGGCGCAAGCCUGACCCAGCAACGCCGCGUGAGGGAGGAAAUCCUUCGGGAUGUAAAC